GAUGAAGAACUUAGCGAAAUGCGAUAAGUAGUGUGAAUUGCAGAAUUCAGUGAAUCAUCGAAUCUUUGAACGCACAUUGCGCCCCCUGGUAUUCCGGGGGGCAUGCCUGUCCGAGCGUCAUUGCUGCCCUCAAGCACGGCUUGUGUGUUGGGCCUCCGUCCUCCUCCCGGGGGACGGGCCCGAAAGGCAGCGGCGGCACCGCGUCCGGUCCUCGAGCGUAUGGGGCUUCGUCACCCGCUCUUGUAGGCCCGGCCGGCGCUUGCCGACACAUCAAUCUUUUUUCCAGGUUGACCUCGGAUCAGGUAGGGAUACCCGCUGAACUUAAGCAUAUCAAUAAGCGGAGGA
This 345-nucleotide unclassified non-coding RNA is filed under the name soil metagenome. RNAcentral's name for it is "partial contains 5.8S ribosomal RNA, internal transcribed spacer 2, and large subunit ribosomal RNA". The stretch from base 1 to 120 matches the Rfam family "5.8S ribosomal RNA", at positions 35 to 154 of the family's 154-position model. The record is from RNAcentral.